AGUUUCUGCUCGGACUUUAACCAAGACUAAUGGCUUGAAAAACCACCGUUGUACUUCAACUACAAAAAC
RNAcentral lists this transfer RNA (69 nucleotides) under Melanotaenia australis (western rainbowfish). RNAcentral's name for it is "tRNA-Glu". The record is from RNAcentral. Lineage: Eukaryota; Metazoa; Chordata; Actinopteri; Atheriniformes; Melanotaeniidae.